RNAcentral lists this ribosomal RNA (497 nucleotides) under uncultured bacterium. RNAcentral's name for it is "partial 16S ribosomal RNA". It matches the Rfam family "Bacterial small subunit ribosomal RNA", at positions 28 to 507 of the family's 1533-position model. The record is from RNAcentral.
GAUGAACGCUGGCGGCGUGCCUAAUACAUGCAAGUCGAGCGAACAGACGAGGAGCUUGCUCCUCUGACGUUAGCGGCGGACGGGUGAGUAACACGUGGAUAACCUACCUAUAAGACUGGGAUAACUUCGGGAAACCGGAGCUAAUACCGGAUAAUAUAUUGAACCGCAUGGUUCAAUAGUGAAAGACGGUUUUGCUGUCACUUAUAGAUGGAUCCGCGCCGCAUUAGCUAGUUGGUAAGGUAACGGCUUACCAAGGCAACGAUGCGUAGCCGACCUGAGAGGGUGAUCGGCCACACUGGAACUGAGACACGGUCCAGACUCCUACGGGAGGCAGCAGUAGGGAAUCUUCCGAAAUGGGCGAAAGCCUGACGGAGCAACGCCGCGUGAGUGAUGAAGGUCUUCGGAUCGUAAAACUCUGUUGUUAGGGAAGAACAAAUGUGUAAGUAACUAUGCACGUCUUGACGGUACCUAAUCAGAAAGCCACGGCUAACUACGUG